RNAcentral lists this ribosomal RNA (740 nucleotides) under uncultured bacterium. RNAcentral's name for it is "bacterial SSU rRNA". It matches the Rfam family "Bacterial small subunit ribosomal RNA", at positions 8 to 796 of the family's 1533-position model. The record is from RNAcentral.
AGAGUUUGAUCCUGGCUCAGGACGAACGCUGGCGGCGUGCUUAACACAUGCAAGUCGAGCGCUGUAGCAAUACAGAGCGGCAGACGGGUGAGUAACGCGUGGGAAUCUACCCAUCCCUACGGAACAACUCCGGGAAACUGGAGCUAAUACCGUAUACGCCCUUUGGGGGAAAGAUUUAUCGGGGAUGGAUGAGCCCGCGUUGGAUUAGCUAGUUGGUGGGGUAAAGGCCUACCAAGGCGACGAUCCAUAGCUGGUCUGAGAGGAUGAUCAGCCACAUUGGGACUGAGACACGGCCCAAACUCCUACGGGAGGCAGCAGUGGGGAGUAUUGGACAAUGGGCGCAAGCCUGAUCCAGCCAUGCCGCGUGAAUGAUGAAGGCCUUAGGGUUGUAAAGUUCUUUCCCGGAGAAGAUAAUGACGGUAUCCGGAGAAGAAGCCCCGGCUACUUCGUGCCAGCAGCCGCGGUAAUACGAAGGGGGCUAGCGUUGUUCGGAAUUACUGGGCGUAAAGCGCACGUAGGCGGAUAUUUAAGUCAGGGGUGAAAUCCCGCAGCUCAACUGCGGAACUGCCUUUGAUACUGGGUAUCUUGAGUAUGGAAGAGGUAAGUGGAAUUGCGAGUGUAGAGGUGAAAUUCGUAGAUAUUCGCAGGAACACCAGUGGCGAAGGCGGCUUACUGGUCCAUAACUGACGCUGAGGUGCGAAAGCGUGGGGAGCAAACAGGAUUAGAUACCCUAGUAGUCC